Molecule: long non-coding RNA, 416 nt
Organism: Anolis carolinensis (green anole)
Lineage: Eukaryota; Metazoa; Chordata; Lepidosauria; Squamata; Anolidae
Exons: 2
Source: RefSeq, a predicted model, not a curated record
CACAAGUGACAUUGCCAGCAAGGUCCAGGCUGACAAACAGUGGCAGUGCUGCUGCUCCCAAGAGGAUAAGUCACCUGUGCCCAAAGAACUGUAUGGGGGGAUAAAAAAAAUCUCUGCAGUACCCUGAUGGUAUAUUUGGGGGAGCUCAGGAGCUGGUGAAAUCACAGCUCUACAUAUGACCAAACCUUUGGAAUCUUCCAUCUAGCUACAAACUGGACAUCUAACUGGAGGAUUCUUGGAUUUGCAGUCCAAAAAGCACCCUUACCUCAGGACAAGAAGCCAAAUGGAUAAUAUUACAAAUGGUGUUGGCUGUGUUUGCAAGUGGCAAUAAUGUGAUACAAUUUUCUCCUACUUUAUACUUCACAACUCAAAAGGAAAGAAAUAGCAGCAAGUAAAAAAAGGCAGCCUUGCAUUCA